UAAGCGGAGGAAAAGAAACUAACAAGGAUUCCCCUAGUAGCGGCGAGCGAAGCGGGAAGAGCUCAAAUUUAUAAUCUGGCACCUUCGGUGUCCGAGUUGUAAUCUCUAGAAGUGUUUUCCGCGUUGGACCGCGCAUAAGUCUGUUGGAAUACAGCGGCACAGUGGUGAGACCCCCGUAUGUGGUGCGGACGCCCAGCGCUUUGUGAUACACUUUCGAAGAGUCGAGUUGUUUGGGAAUGCAGCUCAAAUUGGGUGGUAAAUUCCAUCUAAAGCUAAAUAUUGGCGAGAGACCGAUAGCGAACAAGUACCGUGAGGGAAAGAUGAAAAGCACUUUGGAAAGAGAGUUAACAGUACGUGAAAUUGUUGGAAGGGAAACGCUUGAAGUCAGACUUGCUUGCCGGGCAACCGGUUUGCAGGCCAGCAUCAGUUUUCCGGGGUGGAUAAUGGUAGAGAGAAGGUAGCAGUUUCGGCUGUGUUAUAGCUCUCUACUGGAUACACCUUGGGGGACUGAGGAACGCAGUGUGCCUUACGGCGGAGGUUUCGACCUCUUCACACUUAGGAUGCUGGUGGAAUGGCUUUAAACGACCCGUCU
This 592-nucleotide ribosomal RNA is filed under the name Rhodotorula sphaerocarpa. RNAcentral describes it as "eukaryotic LSU rRNA". It matches the Rfam family "Eukaryotic large subunit ribosomal RNA", at positions 47 to 654 of the family's 3401-position model. Lineage: Eukaryota; Fungi; Basidiomycota; Microbotryomycetes; Sporidiobolales; Sporidiobolaceae. The record is from RNAcentral.